CGGAGGAUCCAAGCGUUAUCCGGAAUCAUUGGGUUUAAAGGGUCCGUAGGCGGUCUUGUAAGUCAGUGGUGAAAGCCCAUCGCUCAACGGUGGAACGGCCAUUGAUACUGCAGGACUCGAAUUACUGGGAAGCAACUAGAAUAUGUAGUGUAGCGGUGAAAUGCUUAGAGAUUACAUGGAAUACCAAUUGCGAAGGCAGGUUGCUACCGGUGGAUUGACGCUGAUGGACGAAAGCGUGGGUAGCGAACAGGAUUAGAUACCCUGGUAGUCCACGCCGUAAACGAUGGAUACUAGCUGUUGGGCGCAAGUUCAGUGGCUAAGCGAAAGUGAUAAGUAUCCCACCUGGGGAGUACGAACGCAAGUUUG
Molecule: ribosomal RNA, 366 nt
Filed under: uncultured organism
Description: bacterial SSU rRNA
Rfam family: Bacterial small subunit ribosomal RNA
Source: RNAcentral